GACGAACGCUGGCGGCGUGCUUAGCACAUGCAAGUCGAACGGAAAGGCCCUGCUUUUGUGGGGUGCUCGAGUGGCGAACGGGUGAGUAACACGUGAGUAACCUGCCCUUGACUUUGGGAUAACUUCAGGAAACUGGGGCUAAUACCGGAUAGGAGCUCCUGCUGCAUGGUGGGGGUUGGAAAGUUUCGGCGGUUGGGGAUGGACUCGCGGCUUAUCAGCUUGUUGGUGGGGUAGUGGCUUACCAAGGCUUUGACGGGUAGCCGGCCUGAGAGGGUGACCGGCGACAAUGGGACUGAGAGACGGCCCAGACGCCUACGGGAGGCAGCAGUGGGGAAUAUUGCACAAUGGGCGGAAGCCUGAUGCAGCAACGCCGCGUGCGGGAUGACGGCCUUCGGGUUGUAAACCGCUUUCGCCUGUGACGAAGCGUGAGUGACGGUAAUGGGUAAAGAAGCACCGGCUAACUACGUG
RNAcentral lists this ribosomal RNA (468 nucleotides) under uncultured bacterium. Its description in RNAcentral is "partial 16S ribosomal RNA". It matches the Rfam family "Bacterial small subunit ribosomal RNA", at positions 28 to 507 of the family's 1533-position model. The record is from RNAcentral.